Molecule: long non-coding RNA, 1211 nt
Organism: Condylura cristata (star-nosed mole)
Lineage: Eukaryota; Metazoa; Chordata; Mammalia; Eulipotyphla; Talpidae
Exons: 4
Source: RefSeq, a predicted model, not a curated record
UCUCCCCCACCCCCGCCAUGUUCCCCCCACUGUCACCCCCUAAGGAACUGAAGACUUGAAGACUCUUCUCACCAGCCCCGUGAGCCUGGGGACAGGCUCCUCCGAGCCUCAAAGGGCAGUUUUUGAAAUUCCACGAUCUAGAGUCGAAUGCGGUUACUUGCUUAUACCCUGCAUCCCUGCCUGGGACAUGAGCAAGAGGCAGUGUUGGCUGUGGAUGAUGAGGCCCCCUUCGGUCAGCAUGUGACACCCCGCUGGUUCCUGGUGCAGUUGGCAGCUCCUGGCUGAGCUGGCUAGGUACUUGGAAGCAAGAAGUGUGGACGUGAGCAAAGGCCUGGACAGGAGGCUGCUCAGGGCUGUUUGCCUCAUGCCACCAGGAAGCUCUGGCGCGGCCAGGACCCCUGCCCGAAGGCCCUGACUUAGCCCCGGGCUUGCUGGAGAAUUCUGGGUUUGGAGAAUAAAGCAGCUUCUGGACUUGAGAAGACCUCUGAGGAGGACCUGAGUGUUGACCUGCCGGGGCCGGAGGGCUCGCGCCCUCGCAGACACCACGCCCCAGCCCGCGCUUCCCUCCUGCGGACAGACGUUCCUCUGCCCGGCCAGCUCCUGGGGCUCCCCACCCCCACACGGCCGCCAUCCCGUUCUCCCCCCACCUUCCACCUCGGCUGUGCCCUUGGGCUCAGCACCUCUUCUUGUUUGCUCCAUUAUCUUCCAGCCGGAUACAGAGUGAAUAGUUAACUACACUCGGAGCAAAUGGGAUCUUAAUUUUUGUUCCUGCUGCUUCUAAAGCGGCCGCUGUUUGUACGCUGCCACGUGAGCCGCCGGGAGCAGCAGCCGUGUGGCCUGGCCCCACGGGCUCGAGUGAGCGAACCCGCGCACGAGUUCUCCACGGCCCAGAGAGCGGCGGGGCCUCGCGGGGUGCCGCGUGGGCAGGCUGGUGCUGUCCAAGGCCCGCUGUCCUGGCGCGGCCACGCGCGUCUUCGCCCGCCCCCGCCCGCGACGCCAGCGCACCGCCGCGGUGAGGACCCCGUUCCCGGGGCAGUGGGGUCCAGGCCAGAGCGUGGCUUCUCCGUAGUGGCCACAUGCAGGCCUGGCAGCCUCCUCCAAGCUGCCCUGCGUCAGCCUCGUGGAAAAUGCAGCACCCGCGAUGAUUGGACUGUGUGUGUCCAGGGCGGUGGACGGGUGGCCGUUGUCAAAGGAAUUAAAGCCAGACCCCC